UCUUCAUUCCCAUACUCUCUGAUCGGUCAGAGAGGCGAGAGAGUGUGUGAAAUGAAGAGA
This 60-nucleotide microRNA precursor is filed under the name Pristionchus pacificus. Its description in RNAcentral is "mir-8364 microRNA precursor family". It matches the Rfam family "mir-8364 microRNA precursor family". The record is from Rfam by way of RNAcentral. Lineage: Eukaryota; Metazoa; Nematoda; Chromadorea; Rhabditida; Neodiplogasteridae.